AUAAAUUGGGUGCUUUUAUUUAAUUUUUAGUUGACCCUGGCUUGCUUCUUCCGGCUGAGUUCGUCUGGAGGGGCAAGAGGGGCUCUAGCCCACAGUGCAAGAAGUCCGGUAGCGAAGAAGAGAAGGAUAACUUUGCCAACAAACAUGCCGGAGGCACACAAACUCAAACGAAUCCACAACAUGAAUGUGGUAGAUCAUCUAUUGGAGCACAGAUUUGAGACCCUUAGUCUGGAGGAAAAAUUAGAGAAAGACAUACCUGUCCUCAGAAAAUGGUGGUGUACAGUACUGCUUGAGAACUUCCACCUGGAUGGGCACGGCAGAAGGUUCCCACACUUCAUGGAGGAGGCCAAACAAAUGGCGGCUGAACUACUUCCAACAGUCUACAGACUGAAGCGAAAAAGAGAAUGAGUUGGAGCUGAUGGCAGUCAGCAUGAAGAAGCUAUAUCUUUAAGAUUCUGUCGAUUAUUUGUUAAAUAAAUUGUGAG
This is a long non-coding RNA of Gadus chalcogrammus (walleye pollock), 485 nucleotides long. RefSeq lists it as uncharacterized. NCBI's taxonomy places the organism in Eukaryota, Metazoa, Chordata, Actinopteri, Gadiformes, Gadidae. The transcript is spliced from 4 exons. The record is from RefSeq and is a predicted model, not a curated record.